RNAcentral lists this ribosomal RNA (253 nucleotides) under uncultured bacterium. Its description in RNAcentral is "partial 16S ribosomal RNA". It matches the Rfam family "Bacterial small subunit ribosomal RNA", at positions 524 to 776 of the family's 1533-position model. The record is from RNAcentral.
UACGUAGGGUGCAAGCGUUGUCCGGAAUUAUUGGGCGUAAAGAGCUCGUAGGCGGUUUGUCACGUCGGAUGUGAAAACCCGAGGCUUAACCUCGGGCCUGCAUUCGAUACGGGCUGACUAGAGUUCGGUAGGGGAGACUGGAAUUCCUGGUGUAGCGGUGAAAUGCGCAGAUAUCAGGAGGAACACCGGUGGCGAAGGCGGGUCUCUGGGCCGAUACUGACGCUGAGACGCGAAAGCGUGGGGAGCAAACAGG